UUUAUUGGAGAGUUUGAUCCUGGCUCAGGACGAACGCUGGCGGCAUGCCUAAUACAUGCAAGUCGAGCGGACUU
Molecule: ribosomal RNA, 74 nt
Filed under: Paenibacillus taichungensis
Lineage: Bacteria; Bacillati; Bacillota; Bacilli; Caryophanales; Paenibacillaceae
Description: partial 16S ribosomal RNA
Rfam family: Bacterial small subunit ribosomal RNA
Source: RNAcentral